GGGUCUGUGGUUUAGUGGUAUAAUACUCCCUUAGCAUUCAGCAUCGUCCUGAUUUCAAGUGGGAGUGGUCCGGGGUUCGAUUCCCCGCGGAUCCA
RNAcentral lists this transfer RNA (95 nucleotides) under Diplodia seriata. RNAcentral's name for it is "tRNA-Ala". It matches the Rfam family "tRNA". From Rfam's summary of the family: Transfer RNA (tRNA) molecules are approximately 80 nucleotides in length. Their secondary structure includes four short double-helical elements and three loops (D, anti-codon, and T loops). Further hydrogen bonds mediate the characteristic L-shaped molecular structure. tRNAs have two regions of fundamental functional importance: the anti-codon, which is responsible for specific mRNA codon recognition, and the 3' end, to which the tRNAs corresponding amino acid is attached (by aminoacyl-tRNA synthetases). tRNAs cope with the degeneracy of the genetic code in two manners: having more than one tRNA (with a specific anti-codon) for a particular amino acid; and 'wobble' base-pairing, i.e. permitting non-standard base-pairing at the 3rd anti-codon position. The record is from RNAcentral. Lineage: Eukaryota; Fungi; Ascomycota; Dothideomycetes; Botryosphaeriales; Botryosphaeriaceae.